AGAUUUGGUAAUCGAGUGAAGUUUUGGAUGACUUUUAAUGAACCGUGGGCUCUUAGUGGAUUUGCCUAUGAUGAUGGAUUUUUUGCUCCCGGUCGAUGUUCAUCUUGGGUGAAUCGUCAAUGUCGUGCUGGAAAUUCAGCUACUGAACCUUAUAUAGUUGCACAUCAUCUCCUCCUCGCACAUUCUGCAGCUGUUAAUUUAUAUAGAGAAAAGUACCAGGUUGGUGAUUUUUGGAUAUACAUACAUGCAUGCCUAGUUUCUUUGUCAAAUACAAAUCUAUCUAGAUUAAUGUGACAUUCUUUUUAUAUUGAUUAUAUAGAAAAUUCGACCCGGCGCGACAAUAGGCAAGAUUGGAAUAACACUCUUUACCUUUUGGUUCGAACCAUUAUCCAAUAGAUCAAUUGAUAUAGAAGCAUCCAGAACAGCACUUGAUUUCAUGUUUGGAUUGUAAGUUUUUCAUUCAAAUUAAUCCAGCUUAUAUACAAAAGUAAUAAAUAAUACAUAUAAUUUUACUAUAUUUUUCAGGUGGAUGGAUCCUUUAACUUAUGGUCGUUAUCCAAGACGUGUGCAAGAUUUAGUUGGAGAUAGAUUGCUCAAUUUUACUGAAAAAGAAACUGAAAUGCUUAGAAAAUCAUAUGAUUUUCUUGGGUUACAAUAUUAUACUUCGUAUUAUGCAAAACCAAAUGCUCCAAUUGAUCCAGAUCAUAUUAGAUACAAAACUGAUAGUCAAACCACUACAACCGGUAAGCUCAUUCAGAAAUGUGAUAUAUUAAAAGUAGAAAGAAUAUAUAUGUGGGUUGAUAUAAGUAUCCUUUUUGAAAAGAAUUUUCAUUUAUAACAUGUUUUUUUUUCCUUACAGCCUAUGACUAUGACGGUAACCCAAUUGGUCCACACGUAAGUGUGUAUUAAAAUGAAAUUUAGUAUAAAAAAGAGAAGAAAAUUGCACGUUUAUGAAUAGUAUCACUGACAUAAAAAUAAAAAUUUGCAGGCUUACUCACCUUGGUUUUACAUUUUUCCAAAAGGCAUUCGACAUCUUUUGAACUAUACCAAAGAUACAUAUGAAGAUCCAGUAAUUUAUAUUACUGAGAAUGGUAAAUAGUUUAUUUCUUUUGUUAUAGAAUUACUAGCGAGCUAUUCACAUUAAUAGUGUGCUCCAAUUUAUUUAAGUUUUUCAUAUAUUAAUUCAGGGGUUGAUAGAUACAAUAACGAAAGUCGAACUCCUGAGCAAGUGAGAAAUGAUACAUUCAGGAUAAACUAUUAUAAAGAGCACAUGUGGCAUGCAUUGGGAUCCCUCAAGUGAGUCUAAACUCCAGUAUGCUAAUAUAAAGAUUUUUUUUUUAAUAAUCCUUAAUCAAUUUUACUAAUAAAAGUUAGUUUUUGUAGGAAAUACAAUGUUAAUCUCAAAGGUUAUUUUGCAUGGUCAUAUUUGGACAAUUUCGAGUGGAAUAUCGGUUAUACUUCGAGAUUUGGUUUAUACUAUGUUGACUAUCAUGAUGACUUGAAAAGAAUGCCCAAAGAUUCCGCUAACUGGUUCAAGGAUAAGUUCUUGAUGAGCCCUUGGAAGGUUACUUCAAAGGAUUCAAGGAAAGUUGGCAAAUACUACAUAAUGUAGUAUGGGUUGAGGUGCCAAAAUUAAAGAGAUAUGGCUUGUGUGUGUCUUGCAAUGAAAUAAUAUGAUUGGGCUACUUCUUAGCUCCAAUGACAUAGCUAGCUUGUGUGGUAAUAGUUUUGUGUGUCUUUGUCUAGCAAUUAAAUAACAUCAUUGAGCUUACUGUUAAGCUCCAAUGACAGGUUGUGUUGUAAUAUAUUUUUGAAAUGAACAAGGAGUGUUUAUCUCCUUUAAGGAAUUUUAUUAAUAUUAUCGGCCUUUGUAUGCAUGAAUUUUAUUAACACUUUUUUUUAGUUUAUUGAAAAAAAUCUAAAUAUUUAGAUUAAUUGAUAUUUAUAGUUAAAAUUUUAACUUUGAAUAAUAAAAUUAAAUAUUUAUAGUUUGUCACAAUUAUAAUAAAAAAAUUAAGUUAAAUUUGAAAAAAAAAACAGUAAAUUAUAAUAUAGUCUCUAAAAUUUUAUAUUAAUUAAAUAUAUAAACCCUUUAAUUCAAAUUUAUAUUAAAAAUAGAUAUAUUUUAUAUUUAUCAUAUAUAAUAUUAAUUAUAUUAUAUAAUAAAUAAAUAUUUAUUAUAAAGUUCGUGAAAUAUUUAUACUCAACAUUAUGUGCGUAUUUUCAUAUAUAAAAAAAACUAUACUUUAUAUUAAUAAUAUUAAUAAAAUAAAAUAUUAUAUAUUUUAGACUAUAAAGUUUUAUUGUUUUUACAUUUUAAAUUUUUAUUAAUCUAUAAUGUGCCUAUGAAAGUGGGAAUAAGCAAAAGUGAGAAUGAAUAAUGAAUAUAAUGAGAUUAAUAAAAAAGGAUAUUGCUAAAAAAAAGUAAAACUUUAUGUAUUAUAUUAAUUUUUUAAAUUUUAAUUUAAUAUUUUAAUUAUAAUUAUGAUAAAUUAAAAAAUUUAAUUUUAUCAUGCAAAAUUUAAAAUUUUAGAUAUCAAUAUAAAUUAUUACUAAUAUUUAAAUUUUUUGUCUAAUAAACUUUUUUUAAUAUUGUAGUCUCACCAUGCAAAAUAAAUUAUUUUCUUAAAAAAUAAUAUAUUUAAAAAAUAUUUUUUAUGAAAUAAAUAAAGGCUAAUGUUAUAUUUAAUUUUUAGAUUAUGUUUUAUAUAAAGGUAGACGGCCCUAAUUAUGAAAAAGAUAUAGUUUAUUUGUUCUAUAAUUUUUAUUUAUUUAUUUUUAAUUAUUUUAAAAUUAUUACUCAUUUUUUUAUAUUAUACACUAUUAACAUAUAAAUUAAUUAUUAUAAUUCUAUUUAAUUUUAUUUUAUUUUCAAUAUAAUUUUUUAUUAAUUAAUUAUUAUUUUUUUAAAAUUAAUAUUCAAAAUAUCUUCUAAUAUUUAAUAAAAUUUAAUGUAUUUAAAAUGAAUAUAAUUAAAAAAUUAAUAAAAAAUUAUAUGACAAAACAUAAAGAGAAGAGAAUCAUACAUAUAAUAAAAUAAUGCCGUAUAAUAUAUAGUUUAGUUUAGUUAUUUUGACUUUGUUUUUAUGGAUUAACUUGAAAUUGAAUCGAAAAUUAUAAUUCAAUUAUUUUGUGUUUCAUUAAUUAAUUUUUUAAAAUAUUUUAAAUAUUAAAAAAAUAUUCUUAAAAAAUAUUUCUUAUAAAAUAAAUGAAAUCUUAAAAAAUAAAAUUUAUCAAAAAAUUGAUAUAAUAAAAUAAGAACCCCUCAACAGUAGUCUAAAAGACCAUAGAAAACUUAUCGAGGCAAAGGGGAAAAGAGCAAACUUUUCCAUCAAACCCAAUAUUCAAAACAGCAGAGGGCAAGGAUAGAAGCUCAAAAUGAACGCAUGAAACACAGAGGGAGGCCGGCCCCAAGAGAGAGGCCAUCAUCUUCCGUCACACCACUCCCUCAUCAUCUGGGUCAGGAGAGGAAAACCCUUCCAAAAAGAAGCCCACACAAACGAAGCCUGUUCCACCAAAACCGACAGAACCAUCUCAUAGUAAACAUCCCACAGAUGCCACACGCCGGAGGACAAGCCAUAGGUGCCGCCAACAACAUUAUGUAGUGCGAGAGCAGCCAAAUCUGGACAACAAUCACAAAUCCUAUACAUACAAAGAAAAGGUGAAACAUCCAAACUAAACACAAAGAACAGUUGCAAAUAAAACCUAGAAAACCGCCCUAAAGCACAGAAACACAACCAUCGGGAAUGAGAAAAAGCAACAACUGCUGCCACAUGCAGGGAUGACCACCGCCUACCGCCACCAAAGUGAAGAACACUGGCCAUAACGAUUGCAAUUUGUAUAGUUAUUGAAUAGCUCAAGGAACAAAACACGAUUCCGAUGUCAACAAUCCACCGGCCUUCAAUGCUCCAACCACAAAUGACCUUGAGAGACCACCCAUCUAACUCAAACGAAAAUGAGAACAAACACGAAAAACAAAAUUGAAAAAAUUCUACAAGGCCAACGACAUCGAUCGAAUCUUGCCUAAAAGCAGAUGGCUUGAUCCAAUGGUAACAAAACUUGAGAUCUUAGCUCUCUUUCUCUCUCUUCUCUUUCUUCUCUCUUCAAAGGAAAAAAGAAUGCCAAUAAGUGAUAAUGCUUGCAGUUUUUAUAACAAAUACUUUGUCAUUCUUAUAUGCAUGCAGUAAACUUUUUAUUAAUAGUUUAAUACAUAUACCAGAAAUAAUUAUUUAAUUAGAAUAUCAAAAAAUAAAAUAAAUUAAUAAACUUCAUGUAUAAAAAGUUCACAAUGUUAAGAAUAAUUUUAAAAUUUUAAUAUAAAUUAUAUUUAAAAUAGCAUUGGUGCAGCGGAUUUAGAGAGUAAGCAUACAUUUUUUUUGUUUUGAAAUGAAAAAUUGAAAAUUGGAGGAUAAAAUCUGAGACCUUUUAUAUUUAUUUAAAUAUACUUUACCAUCAGAUUAAAUAUAUGCGCGAUGUUCUUACUUUUUAAAAAUUUUAAUUAAGAGUUAUGUUAAAUAUAUAUUUAUUUUUAAUAUAAUAUUAUGUUUCGAUCCUCAUUUCUAAAAAUAAAAAAUGGGAAGUAGAAAUAAGUAAGCAAAUUUUUUUAAAUUUCAUGAGUUUAUUUUUAAUAAGAUGUUAUAUUUAGUAAUUUUUCUAUUGUUGAAAAACUUAUUUUUUUAUUAAUCUAACUAAAUAAAAAUUGUGGAUUGAAAUUUAAUAAAUUCGAUUGUAUGUUUACUAAAUUAAACUAUAAUUUAUUUAUUAAAUUUAAAUUUAUUAAAUGUAUAUUUUAAGUAUAAAUAUUACUUUAAUGAAUAUUUUAUUAAAUAAUAGAAUAUUAAAUAAUAAAAAUUGAGGAAGUGGGAUGGGGGCAGGACAAGGAGGAAAAUAUAGAUUUUUUUUUCAUUUUUUUAAGAUAAAUGAAAAAUAAAUCUCAAAUAAAAAUAAAUUUUUUUUAUUGUAUAUAAAAAAAAAGUUUUAGUUAAUUCCCGUUUAUCAUCUUGGAAAAAUUUAGGUAUACAUAUGAUUUUAUAAAUUUUCUUUAAAUUGAAAAAAAUUAAAUAGAAAAAAAUUAUUAUUUUCAAACACAAAGAAUAGUUAUGCCUUUCCGAUUAUUUAUUUAUUUCUUUCUUUCCUCUCCCAUAUCAAAAAUGGGUAAUUUUUACCUGUAAUAACUGAAUUUUAAUACUUGUUUUAUUGUAAUUAUUAAAUUUAAUUUUAUUUCAUAAAACAUUAAUUUUUUUUUAUUUGAACUUCAAAUGGUAAAUCUCGUCAGAAUUUAAUAGAAUCUCUAAUUAGGUUUUUACAUAGACUAAUUUUACUUAAAAAUUGAAGGUAAUCUCGUCAUUAUCAUCAAACUAAUUAUUCACCUAUCAUAAUAAUUGAAGAUGCUAUUUGAAUUUAGCCACAGCCGAUUUUACAUGUGUGGGGAUGUAGCUCACAUGGUAGAGCGCUCGCUUUGCAUGCGAGAGGUACGGGGUUCGAUCCCCCGCAUCUCCACUAUUUUUUUUAUAUUUAUUUUGCCUAAUCUUGAAAACGAAGAGGCCCAGCCCAUGUCAAGUGCCAAUUCAGGCUUUCACGAGCCCAGUUUUUCUAGAGCUUCAAAAUCCCACUUAAAUUUCAGGCUUUUCCUUUGUUUUUUUGUCAAGUACACUGUCUUCACUGAAUUUCCUGCAACUCUCUACAAAUCUUCAUCUGAAAACAUUGUUUUUGAGAUUGAGAAUUCACAAUCCACAUUAGAAAAAAAAUUAAAAGUAUUCUCAAUGGACCAAUCUCUCCCUCAACAGAAAUUGAAAAAGAAAGCAGUGAGUCAUUUCAUAAGGCCACAACCACCAUGAAUAAAACUCAAGGAAGCUAGCUGUCUCUUUCAUAUCUCAGCAGUGGAGAUGUCUAUUUUCUGCCAUAUAUAUAUAUAUAUAUAUAUAUAUAAAUAUAAAGGCACUUGAUAUCUGCUUUUGUGAUUUUGUGCAGACACUACAGUCGCUCACUAUUUUGUCUACAAAAUGAUGCAUGAUGAUCUGAGAUCUAAUAGAUUAGGGUUUUAUAAGGGUUUGUGUAUUGAAGAAAAAACUUGGCUUAUCUCCCUAGAGGAGUAUCCCUUUUAUCAUUUUUUUCCUGCUUGCUGGUGACGUAUAAUGGCUCUCCCAUGAUUGGACAACGCGUCUCUGCCGUACAGAUAUGGGCGUACGAGUGUAUCAGGUGCCUGCUCCAUGCGUAACGGCCUCUGAUUCUCCCCCGUGCGUACACUUGAGCGGAUCUGCCAGGCUAUAUGACGAGUCUCGUUCUGGAUUCUGGGCUGGGCCGAGAGCUGGGCUGGACGAUGAACCCAGGAGGAGAAAGAAUCCGUGGGGAGGUUAUACGGGCUGGGCCGAUCUCGAUGAAAGAAGAAUCUGGUGGAGUCCGGCCUCAGGGGUCUGAUGAUCCGGGCCUGUUUUACCUAAGAGGGCGUGCGGGCCUUCCUUUCAUGGGCCGUGGCCGUAAUCUAGGCCCAGGAUUGGAGUAGGAAAAUCCAGCGGUCAUCAAAGCAUUUUGGAGAAAUUUUUUCUAUAAAAGAGUACAUGAAGGAAAAUGAUGAUUUCUUUUCUUUUCACUUUCUUUGAUUAUAAAGUUAGAGUAGUCAGGAUCAUUAAUCGAGAACCCUCUAUGUCUAUCUGAAAUCUUUUCAGUAAGGCUAAAAGCCUACAUAAUUAAGUUUAUAACCAAAUAGAAUACUUGGAAUUUUACAAAAUACUUCAGUGAACCAAAUUGUUAUUAUCAUGAAAAUUAUUUCCAUAACACUGCCCUUUUCUAAAGAUUCUCAUGAAACUUGGUUUAUAGAGUUUUGCGAGUUAAAAUCCAUAUGUAUUAUAAUGGUCCGUUCAUAUCUACAAUCAAUUUACCUAAUCUAAACUAUAAAUAUGAAUAUAAAUUUUAUUUAUUUUUAUGUGGUUCAAAGUAUUCAUAAAUUAUUCAAGAUUCGUUUCGAUAAAAAUUCGAUUAAAUUCAAAUUAUUUUUGAAACAAGUUAAAUUCGAAUUUAAAUUGUAGGCUUACUUAUUUAACGAGCCGAGUAUUAAUUUCGUUAGUAUUUGCAUCGUUAAAAUUUAUGAAUUCAAAAUAAUAAAUUAACUCGUUGAAUAUACUCGAAUUCAAAUUUUAAGCUUAUUUAUUUAACGAGCCGAAUAUUAAUUCCGUUAGUAUUUGCAUUAUUAAAAUUUAUGAGUUCAAAGUAACAAAUUAACUCAUUGAAUAUACUCGAAAACAUACUGAACUCAAUAUAAUAAAAGAAUUAAAUUUAAAACUUACAUAAAAUUUCAUAAUUUAAAUUUGAGUUUUUUAAAAUUUAAUUUCAUUCAAUUGAAUUACACUCUUAAAAUUUAUAAAUAUAUAACUUGUUAAAAUUUGAGAGCUCAAUGUUUAUAAAUUUAAUAAGUUAAUUUAAAUAUAUACUGUUUUUUGAUUCAAAAAAUAUAUAUAUACUGUUUAACUAAAAUUAUUUAAUUUUGAAUUUAUUAAUUUUAAAUUAAAAUUUAUUAUAAUAAAGCAGUUUAAUAGCUUGUCAUUUAAAUUUUUUUUAAGUUAAUUAAAAUAAAAUUUUGUCUUUUAUUAAAGAAAAGCCAAAUUUGACCUCUUUUCAUGCUUCCAAUACAAUCCAUUACCGAUGAGUCCAAUCCAUUCCAUCUAUUUCAUUUAAAAUCAAAUUAAAAUAAAUAAAUUAAAAAUUAAAAAUUUAAUAUUUUUAAAAAUUAAAUUAAUUUUAAUUAAAAAUCAAAUCAAAUUGAAUUGAUUCGAUUCGAUUUAAUUCAAUUUGGUUUAAUUAAUUUUAAUUUUUAAUAAAUUUUUUAUUUUUUACUCUUUAUUUUUAGUAUUUUAAAAUUUAAUUAAAAUAUUUUAAUUUUAAUAUGCUUUAAUUUCUCUAUAUUAUUAAAAAUAACAUAUUAUUAUCUCUAAAUUGAUUCGAUUCGAUUUUUUUUAAUCAAAAUUGAACCAAACUGAAAUAACUGAAAUUUUUAAAAUUAAAUCGAAACGAACUAAAAUGAAUAAAAAAAUCAAACUAAAAUUUUAAAUUAAAUCAGUUCGAUUAAUUUUUUCGAUUUGAACUGAAUUCUACUCACUCCUCCUCCUAUUAUCCUUAUUUGAAUUUGGACGCAACAAUAUAUUUAUACGUGUCAUUUUAUUAAAAUUUAUAAAUAAAAAAAAUUAACAUGCACCAAUUUAAUUAAAUUCAAGUUCGCAGCUCUUUAUUUUUUCCCAAAAAAACAGCAAAGAAACAAACAAUUCAAGAGUCAAAUUCUGAUGUAAGUGCGUUUCCAAGAGCUGCAUUGUUUAGCGACGUGUUAUUAUCAUAUAAAACCGUAUCUACAGAAGUUUUCUAUUUGACAGAGUUAUUUAAUUCUUUUCAACACUUAUAUGGAUUUAGCCCUAAAUGCAUAGAGAUUUACAAUCCUAUUGUCCUAUUAAAUCGAAUAAGUUACAUUUUAAUUUUUUAACUGAAUCAUAUGAUAUCUUGAGUCCACUUAUCAAACUAAUUUGAAUUCACUUACAUAAAUCUAUGAAGAAAAUCAUUUUUAUGUAUGAAGAAAAUUUUUUACAUUAAAAAAUACUAAAUUUUUUUAUUUUAAAUAAAAAUUUUAUAAAAAAAUUAAUUUUUAUAAAAUUUUUAAUUUCAAAUAAUUGUUUAAAAAAAUUAAGAAAAGUAGACUUCUAGUCAAAAGAGUUAACAAUAAUAAUAAUAAUAAUAACUUAACUAUUUAAGGUUCAUUCUCUGUCAUCUGAUAUCAAUGAUGAAAAUUUUAUGUAAUUAAAAUUUAUAAAUUAAUAAUAAUGUAAGAGAUUAAAUUUUAAAAUAAUAAAAUUAUGUUUAAUGAAAAAUAAAUAAAUCUAUGUGUAUUGAAGGAGAGAUAUAACAUAUAAAUUUAAUUUUCACAAAUUACAUCUCAUUUUUCUUUUUUUGGUAUAAUUUAUUUUGUAAAAAAAAUAUUUUUUUAUAAAAUUACAUCAUAUUUCAAGUUAUUUUAAAAUACAAAUUUUUUAAAUUAAAAAUAAUUGAAUUUUUUAAGAACAAUCAUAAUUAUUUAACACUUUUCAUUCUAUUAAUUAAAAAAUAUGUAUUAUAUAUUUUUUUAAAUUAAUUAUUAAUUAUUAUAAUUUUUCAUCAAUAAGAUUGAGAGUAUUGAUUAUUCAUAAUAUUUUUUUUCAUUUUAAACAAGAGAAUUAUUAAAAAAAAUUAAUUUAAUACAAUUAAAUUCUCACAAAGUCUUUUUAACUCUGAAUGAAGAGUUAGAGUUUGCAUAUGUGAAAGAGCCAUAAAUAUUUUUAAGAGUCUCAUUGAACAAAAAAGUCAAAAUUUACAUAAUAUUAUAUAUAUUUUAAUUUAAAUAUUUUUCAGUAUUGGAUUUAUUAUUUCAAAUUUUUUAAUUUACUAAAAUUAUAUCUUAGAUUAAAGUUAAGACUUAAAAUAAAAACUUAGUAUAUGGUAUGCCAUUUAAAAAUUUUAUUAUUAAAAUACUAAAAUUAUUUUUUAAAAUACAAUUAUUAAAAUACUAGUAAACCUUAUUUAUAUGAAUUCAAAUCUAAAUACUUCUAUAGUAUAUAUAGAGUAUAAAUAAUAUUUUUUUAUUAAUUUAAUUUACAAAUCAAAUUUUAUAAUCAUCAGACAAAAACUUUUUCUUUUUCCUUCUUCUUCGACUUUAGCAAUCUCAUUAUUGAAAUUUGAUUUAAAGGUUUAUGAUGAUUGUAACGUUACAAAAUUAAUUGCAAAUGCCUAUCCUAUAAUAAAGUUACUUUUGUAUUUGAAGAAAAUUAUUAUUUAAUCUUUUAAAUAAAGUAAAAUUUAUUAGUUAGUUUUUUAAUUUUAAAAAAUAUAUUAAAAUAUUUUUAAAAUAUUAAAAAUUCUAUUAAUUAAUUACUCGAUUAAUUUUCAUUUUACCUAUUAAGUGUUGAAAAAAGUCUAAAAUAAAAGAUUAAUUAGUUUAAUUUUUAUAAAAUUAAAAAAUUAACUAAUAAAUUUUGUUGAUGCUAUAAGGAUUAAACAGUAAAAUACUAAUAUCUAAAGUUAAUAAAUGAUUGAUUAAUAAUUUAAAAUAUUUUAAUGAUUUUUUUCAGAUUAAUAAACUAAAUUUAAGAGAGUAAAUAAUUUUUUUUAUAUUAAAAAUUGAAGAUAAAAGUUUUUUUUCUUGAACUAUGUAAAUCUAUUGCAUUUUUCACUGGUCCAACAAGAAACAAAGUAUCCAAAUAACUUAUAUCCACAAAAAUAAUCCAGUAAUUCAAGAACCCAAACAAUAGCCUAAAAAGCAGAAACUCUUAAUUCAUAUUAACUCAAUUGAUCGACACAAGCACCGUCGCACAAAUUUCGAGUCGCCGAUGUACCAUUUGAGUCAUCAGUACAUUAAGAAAUAAUGACAGCAACCUUUAUUUAACUCUUUAGCAAAAAUAAAAAGUAACAAUAAGAGACACAUGAUACAUCUGCACAUGCAAGCAGAUCUAGAUUGGAAAGAGUCACGACCGACGAAAACUAGCCGCAAAAAGAGACAGCGUAGCAGAGCUCUUAGUCAAUUAUCAGACUGUGUGAACGUAGCUCAUCGGAUGUAUUGAUGCGUAGGUGCAAUACCACAUAUGCAAAUAACUCUCCAUAACCAUAGAUACAAAGUCACCAGACCCUCAAAUCAGAUCCAAAAGAGCAAUCCCCACUACCAAAAAAUACUAGGAAUUUGAAAACAUGGAAGAACAGAAGAAACUCAAAUACAAAAAUCAAAGUAAAUCAAAUAAGAGCAACCAAAGAUACCAGAAAGACACCAACACAAAAGUCUGAAACUCUCACCGAUGUCUACAGUCCGUUCAUCCGCCCUAUCUCCUUCUUUCGUAUUCUUUUUUUUUUUUUUCUAUGUAAACUAUUAUAAUGAGUUUUAUUCAAAAUUAUAUGUUCUCAUAAGAUAAAAUAUCAUAGCUUUUUAUUAAUUUCAUUUUUUUUGAAAUAGAAAUUUCAUUAAAUUUAUAGUAAAAAUAAAAUAUAAAUAAUUUUUUUCAUUAAUUACAUUAAUGGACAUUUUAUCUUCUGCCCAAAAAAAAAAAGUAAUGGGCUUAGUACAGUUACUAGAAAGUUGAAAUUUGUAAAAGAGAUUAAUCUUAUCCUUGAUAAAGAAGCAAAAAAGAGAUGUACUGUUGUGGAGAAUCCUUGUGUUUGUAGGCCCCAUGUGAUUUUUUAGUGGGCCACCCUUGUUCUCCACUAGCAAUGCAAAAUUUUUCUUCCUUUUGAUAAAGAAGCAAAAAAGAGAUGUACCGUUGUGGAGAAUCCUUGUGUUUGUAGGCCCCAUGUAUUUUUUAGUGGGCCACCCUUGUUCUCCACUAGCAAUGCAAAAUUUUUCUUCCUUUCAGAAUUGUGACGAGGAAGUUGUUUUUUUAAAAAAACAAAAAAUCAAAAAUAAAAAAUUGAAAAACAAAUUGUUGAAAUUAUUUAAUUAUUUUAAAAAAUUUUAUGUGUAAAAAUAUACUUUAACCUUAAAUUAUUUUAGUAUUUUAAUUAAAAUAUUUUUAAAACAUUUUUCAACAAUAAUAUUAACAAAGCUCCGUACACAUUAUAAAAAAUAUUAUUUAUUUACCAGCUUAUCAUUUUAGUAUUUAUUUUUUUUAAAUGAAAUUAAAAAUUGAGAAAAUAAAAAUAUAUCGGCACUUAUUAUCAGACUAAAUUUAUGAGUGCAUCAUUUUAAUAUUUAUUAGCAUUAAACUAAUAAAUUAAUUAAUAAUCAAAUAUUCUAAAUUUUUUAGUAAUUUUAAUAAUAAAUAUAUUUAUAAAUUACAUUGUAUUAGAUAUAUCUAUUAUUUAUCAAUUAUUUAUAAAUAUUUUAAGUAAAUACGAAAUUAUUUAAAAUUUAAAUACUUAUAAAUUUAAAAAUAACUGAUAAUAUUAAGUAUUUAAAACUAAUUUUCGUAAUUUAAGCUUAAUUUCAAGCAUAAAAAUUACACACAGAGUUAGACUCUGAAAUUCACUUUUCUUUCUUUGUUACAGAAUAAUAUUGCUUAGAAUUCCAUCGAUCUAAUUUUCAAACAUCAUAUAUAAUGAUCUGAGAUCCAGAAAUAGGGUUUUUACAAUGGGCUCUGUAAAAUUUAGAAAAAACUUAAAUCUAGAGAGGAGUAUUUCUCCUUUUAUAUGUUUCCUUUUGUCUGCUAGUGAUGUGCCAACAGAACGAGUAUCAUUAGACCACAUGUCCCUGCUACGCUGAUACGGACGUACGAGGGAAUCAGAUCUCUGCCCCAUGCAUAACGGCCUCUGAUUCUCUCUGUGCACGUGUAGGCGGGUCUACGAGGCGGAUGGAUGAAUACUUCUUCGGGUUCUGGGCUGGGCCGGAGGAUAGGAACAAAGCUGGGCCCAAAUGGGAUCGGCCCGAGGUGCAGUGAAGACGAGGCCGGCCUGGUGGAGAAAGCCAGAUGAAGCCCGGUUGUGAGGCUGAGCGGACUGGACCUAGUUCGCGUGAGUGGCUUGAAGAUUUCUAAGUAAUUGACUAUUUUCAUGGAUCUGACCCUAAACUAGAGUGAGGUGAGCCCAAAGGUCAUCAAUAUAUAUUCAAAAAGGCUUAAAAUUAAAAAAAAAAAGCCUAAACUUUAAAUUUUUUAAUUAUCUUUUUUUUUUUUACUUUUAUCAAUUUAGUGAAGGAAAAUGAAAUAUACAUAUAAUCUUAUAUAACUAUAUAUAUCAAUUAAUAAGAAGAAAAAAAAUUCUUUUAAUUAUUUAAAUGAAACAUGCAUAAAAUAUUUUUUAGAAAAAAAAUUAAAUUCUAAUGAUCAGAAAAUAAAAGAUAUUUAUUUAAAAAAUGAAAACUAAAGUUAUUAAUAUUGCUUUGGCUUUAAACCAUCGGACGACGACGUGACACAAAAAGGGCAAGUGGACAAUCAUGCAUGCAAUGAAUCACGUUACCAUGAACUCUAUAUAAAGGGCAGUGCCAUGAGAAGAGCAAACCACACAAGCACUUCAAAAUCUUAACACCAUCGAUCAACAUGGCUUUGGCUUUCAAACACUCUCUUCUUCUGGGGAUGCUCGUCUUCCUCAUAGCCCUGUUGGCUCUUACUGAGCCAGCAAUGGCUGAUGAUGUUGAUGCUGUCCCUGAUAACUUUAACCGUACUUAUUUUCCAGAUGAUUUCAUUUUUGGCACAGCUACUUCUUCUUACCAGGUAUAUUCAGACCUUCAUUUUUAUCUAUGCUCUCCCAUUGUCUAUUUGUUCCCUAGUUUGCAUUAUUUGCUUUGCUUCUUUCUUCUGUUUAUAAAGUUUGCUUAAAAUAAAUAAUAUUCAAUUUUACAUUAGAUCGAAGGUUCAACAAACAUAUCUUGCAGAGGACCAAGUGUCUGGGAUACAUUUACUCAUGAAUAUCCAGGUACGAUUAAAUGCAUAUCAACAUAUGAUAUAUACGUGCAAAAUAUUAAUUAUUUAUAUAUAAUCUUGCAGAAAGGAUAAAGGACCACAGUAAUGGAGAUGUUGCCGUUGAUUUUUACCAUCGAUAUCGGGUAUAAUAGUUAAACUUUUUUUUCUAUUUUCUAAAAAAAUCGUUGUAUUGACAACAAUAAAAUUAAACUGCAGGAGGAUAUCAAAAAUGUGAAGAAUAUGAAUUUUGAUGCAUUCAGAUUUUCAAUUUCAUGGUCUAGAGUUAUACCCAGUAAGUAAUUUAUUAUUACAUGAAUAUUACUCGAUAUAUAGGAAGUACUUUCACACUUGUUUAUAAUAUUAAUUUUAAAAUAUUCAGGUGGAAGAAGAUCUGAAGGAGUGAACGAGGAGGGCAUAAAAUUUUAUGAUGAUGUUAUCAAUGAAGUUCUAAGAAAUGGUGAAAAUCAUCUUCUUUUCUCUUAAAUUUUGUGAAUUAUGGCUUUAAUAUCUGGAAAACGUAUUCAAAAUAGUAAUAAAGGGCCCUGGUGAAGUCAUCAUAUUAUUACAUCAAAUUUCUAAUUUUUCUUUUUGCUGCGAAAAAUUCAGAACUCAUACCAUUUGUUACAAUUUUUCAUUGGGAUACUCCUCAAGCUCUAGAGGAUAAAUAUGGCGGCUUUUUAAGUCGUAAUAUUGUGUAAGUAUAUAAUUUCAACUAAUAUUUUCAAACUACCAAAAGAAAAAUUUAUGUAUCAGUUUUUUGAAUAUAAUGUUCUCAUCUUACAUAAUGUAUAGGGAUGAUUAUUGUGAUUAUGCGGAUCUUCUCUUCGAAAAAUUUGGUAAUCGAGUGAAGUUUUGGAUGACUUUUAAUGAACCGUGGUCUCUUAGUGGAUUUGCCUAUGAUGAUGGAAUUUUUGCUCCCGGUCGAUGUUCAUCUUGGGUGAAUCGUCAAUGUCGUGCUGGAAAUUCAGCUACUGAACCUUAUAUAGUUGCACAUCAUUUACUCCUUGCUCAUUCUGCAGCUGUUAAUUUAUACAGAGAAAAAUAUCAGGU
Molecule: long non-coding RNA, 14381 nt
Filed under: Manihot esculenta (cassava)
Lineage: Eukaryota; Viridiplantae; Streptophyta; Magnoliopsida; Malpighiales; Euphorbiaceae
Description: long non-coding RNA (MESC_LNC006290)
Rfam family: tRNA (bases 5427-5499)
Source: RNAcentral